RNAcentral lists this ribosomal RNA (117 nucleotides) under Oscillospiraceae bacterium. Lineage: Bacteria; Bacillati; Bacillota; Clostridia; Eubacteriales; Oscillospiraceae. The record is from RNAcentral.
GUCGGUGUCUAUAGCGAUGAGGUUCCACCCGUUCCCAUCCCGAACACGGUAGUUAAGCUCAUUUGCGCCGAAGAUACUUAGCGGGCAGCCGCUUGGGAAAAUAGGUUGUCGCCGGCA